This 696-nucleotide ribosomal RNA is filed under the name Escherichia coli. RNAcentral's name for it is "partial 23S ribosomal RNA". It matches the Rfam family "Bacterial large subunit ribosomal RNA", at positions 2223 to 2915 of the family's 2925-position model. Lineage: Bacteria; Pseudomonadati; Pseudomonadota; Gammaproteobacteria; Enterobacterales; Enterobacteriaceae. The record is from RNAcentral.
CGUUGACCCGUAAUCCGGGUUGCGGACAGUGUCUGGUGGGUAGUUUGACUGGGGCGGUCUCCUCCUAAAGAGUAACGGAGGAGCACGAAGGUUGGCUAAUCCUGGUCGGACAUCAGGAGGUUAGUGCAAUGGCAUAAGCCAGCUUGACUGCGAGCGUGACGGCGCGAGCAGGUGCGAAAGCAGGUCAUAGUGAUCCGGUGGUUCUGAAUGGAAGGGCCAUCGCUCAACGGAUAAAAGGUACUCCGGGGAUAACAGGCUGAUACCGCCCAAGAGUUCAUAUCGACGGCGGUGUUUGGCACCUCGAUGUCGGCUCAUCACAUCCUGGGGCUGAAGUAGGUCCCAAGGGUAUGGCUGUUCGCCAUUUAAAGUGGUACGCGAGCUGGGUUUAGAACGUCGUGAGACAGUUCGGUCCCUAUCUGCCGUGGGCGCUGGAGAACUGAGGGGGGCUGCUCCUAGUACGAGAGGACCGGAGUGGACGCAUCACUGGUGUUCGGGUUGUCAUGCCAAUGGCACUGCCCGGUAGCUAAAUGCGGAAGAGAUAAGUGCUGAAAGCAUCUAAGCACGAAACUUGCCCCGAGAUGAGUUCUCCCUGACUCCUUGAGAGUCCUGAAGGAACGUUGAAGACGACGACGUUGAUAGGCCGGGUGUGUAAGCGCAGCGAUGCGUUGAGCUAACCGGUACUAAUGAACCGUGAGG